GGGGAUUUAGCUCAGUGGUAGAGCACUUGCUUUGCAAGUGCAAGGCCCUGGGUUCCGUCCUCAGUCCCCC
Molecule: transfer RNA, 70 nt
Filed under: Rattus norvegicus (Norway rat)
Lineage: Eukaryota; Metazoa; Chordata; Mammalia; Rodentia; Muridae
Rfam family: tRNA
About the family: Transfer RNA (tRNA) molecules are approximately 80 nucleotides in length. Their secondary structure includes four short double-helical elements and three loops (D, anti-codon, and T loops). Further hydrogen bonds mediate the characteristic L-shaped molecular structure. tRNAs have two regions of fundamental functional importance: the anti-codon, which is responsible for specific mRNA codon recognition, and the 3' end, to which the tRNAs corresponding amino acid is attached (by aminoacyl-tRNA synthetases). tRNAs cope with the degeneracy of the genetic code in two manners: having more than one tRNA (with a specific anti-codon) for a particular amino acid; and 'wobble' base-pairing, i.e. permitting non-standard base-pairing at the 3rd anti-codon position.
Source: Rfam by way of RNAcentral